RNAcentral lists this unclassified non-coding RNA (352 nucleotides) under soil metagenome. RNAcentral's name for it is "partial contains 5.8S ribosomal RNA, internal transcribed spacer 2, and large subunit ribosomal RNA". The stretch from base 1 to 120 matches the Rfam family "5.8S ribosomal RNA", at positions 35 to 154 of the family's 154-position model. The record is from RNAcentral.
GAUGAAGAACGCAGCGAAAUGGGAUAAGUAAUGUGAAUUGCAGAAUUCAGUGAAUCAUCGAAUCUUUGAACGCACAUUGCGCCCGCCAGUAUUCUGGCGGGCAUGCCUGUUCGAGCGUCAUUACAACCCUCAGGCCCCCGGGCCUGGCGUUGGGGAUCGGCGGAGCCCCCCGUGGGCACACGCCGUCCCCCAAAUGCAGUGGCGGUCCCGCCGCAGCUUCCAUCGCGUAGUAGCUAACACCUCGCGACUGGAGAGCGGCGCGGCCACGCCGUAAAACACCCAACUCUUCUGAAGUUGACCUCGAAUCAGGAAGGAAUACCCGCUGAACUUAAGCAUAUCAAUAAGCGGAGGA